Molecule: long non-coding RNA, 903 nt
Filed under: Linum usitatissimum (flax)
Lineage: Eukaryota; Viridiplantae; Streptophyta; Magnoliopsida; Malpighiales; Linaceae
Description: long non-coding RNA (LUSI_LNC004870)
Source: RNAcentral
UUCUCAAUUUGUUUAGUCUAGACCGUGUUAUUAAGUUUUAUGUAAACAUAUGACGAGAAAAAUUCUUAGACACAUACGACAUUUGUGUUGUUGAAAUAACUGUAAAGUUGUUUUGACGAUUAUAGCUGAUGACAAAAGAAGCCAAUUCCACAAACCAAACCGAUCGACUCCACGCUAAGAUAAACCCCAUUACACAGAUGCGAUAAACUUAACAGAAACAAACACUACUAGUACACUUCACGAUAUCCUUUUAUUCAGAAGCCUAACGGAUCAUAGAUGAAGGUUGGUCGUCUGAUCAUGUUGCGUUCCCAAACUAGUUGGACGGGAGAUCAUCGGCCUUGUCGUAGACAACGUAUUGAGGCUCCGACUGGAUCCCCUUGGCAAACUUGUGAUCAUCGGCCUUGUCGUACACAACGUAUUGAGGCUCGGACCGGAUCCCCUUGGCAAACUUGUGAUCAUCGGCCUUGUCGUACACAACGUAUUGAGGCUCUGACCGGAUCCCCUUGGAAAACUUGUGAUCAUCGGCCUUGGCAUGGACAACGUAUUGAACAAGCUCCGGGGACUCGAUUCCUUUGGCAAACUUAUCGGACGGUAGACCAUCAACUAACUGAUGAUGAGGUUGUGACGACGACUCAAUCCUUUUGGAUUUGUGAUGAUCAUCGGUAUCACAACCAACACCCUCGUGAACAGAGUCUGCAACAGGGACUAGAGAUUGGAUGGCUUUCGGCAUAGGCUGAUCAUUCGUCACAAUUCUCCAGUAAUCUCUGACAUCGUGGUGAACAUCAGAGUUUGCAACAGGGACUAGCGAUUCGAUCUCUUUCGGAAUAGGCUGAUCAUCCGUCACAAUCUCCCAGUAAUAUCCUGCUGGGUCUUUCCUUGCAUUGGCACAACCAGCUCCCAACU